GGGAGUAAAAGUCGUAACAAGGUUUCCGUAGGUGAACCUGCGGAAGGAUCAUUAUUGUAUAACCGAGGUGCGAGGGCUGUCGCAGACCCGAAAGGUCGUGCACGCCCGAGUGCCCUCACACACAUCCAUCUCACCCCUAUGUGCACCACCGCGUGGGUCCCCCUUUGGCUUGUUCGGAGGGGGGCUUACGUUUUCACACAAACUUUGUAUGCAGUGUAGGAUGUAUUUUUUGUUUUUGCGAUCACGCAAUCAAUACAACUUUCAACAACGGAUCUCUUGGCUCUC
This 285-nucleotide unclassified non-coding RNA is filed under the name plant metagenome. RNAcentral describes it as "partial contains small subunit ribosomal RNA, internal transcribed spacer 1, and 5.8S ribosomal RNA". The stretch from base 1 to 54 matches the Rfam family "Eukaryotic small subunit ribosomal RNA", at positions 1778 to 1831 of the family's 1831-position model. The record is from RNAcentral.